AUUUAUAUAGUUUAGAAAAAACAUUACACUUUCACUGUAAAGACAAAGAUAACCUUUUAUAAAUA
RNAcentral lists this transfer RNA (65 nucleotides) under Capritermes capricornis. RNAcentral describes it as "tRNA-Glu". It matches the Rfam family "tRNA". Rfam says of the family: Transfer RNA (tRNA) molecules are approximately 80 nucleotides in length. Their secondary structure includes four short double-helical elements and three loops (D, anti-codon, and T loops). Further hydrogen bonds mediate the characteristic L-shaped molecular structure. tRNAs have two regions of fundamental functional importance: the anti-codon, which is responsible for specific mRNA codon recognition, and the 3' end, to which the tRNAs corresponding amino acid is attached (by aminoacyl-tRNA synthetases). tRNAs cope with the degeneracy of the genetic code in two manners: having more than one tRNA (with a specific anti-codon) for a particular amino acid; and 'wobble' base-pairing, i.e. permitting non-standard base-pairing at the 3rd anti-codon position. The record is from RNAcentral. Lineage: Eukaryota; Metazoa; Arthropoda; Insecta; Blattodea; Termitidae.